UCCCGCUUAACACGGGCAGUGGGAUGUCAAGACCUGGUAAGGUUCUUCGCGUUGCUUCGAAUUAAACCACAUGCUCCACCGCUUGUGCGGGCCCCCGUCAAUUCCUUUGAGUUUCAGUCUUGCGACCGUACUCCCCAGGCGGAGUGCUUAAUGCGUUAGCUGCAGCACUAAAGGGCGGAAACCCUCUAACACUUAGCACUCAUCGUUUACGGCGUGGACUAC
This 222-nucleotide unclassified non-coding RNA is filed under the name Bacillus sp. (in: firmicutes). RNAcentral describes it as "Bacillus sp. (in: Bacteria) contains 16S-23S intergenic spacer region". Lineage: Bacteria; Bacillati; Bacillota; Bacilli; Caryophanales; Bacillaceae. The record is from RNAcentral.